Molecule: long non-coding RNA, 3752 nt
Filed under: Lactuca sativa (garden lettuce)
Lineage: Eukaryota; Viridiplantae; Streptophyta; Magnoliopsida; Asterales; Asteraceae
Description: long non-coding RNA (LSAT_LNC004716)
Source: RNAcentral
UAAAAUGCACUAGUUUUAAUCCUAUUACUUCAAACACAAAUUAAACACACGAAAGGCAGUGAACCUAUUGAUUAAUAGUAUAGUUUAAUCAAGUAGGGUAUCGAACACAGGGAACGGUAACAAUCAAAUUAAAUACUAGUAUUACCUAAUUAAAAACAAUUAAUAAAAGAGGGGGGUUUCUCUAGUUUUGCAAGACUAGAAACUUAAUCAAUCAAUUAACUUUCAAACAAAGACAAUUAACAACUAAGAAGAACAAUAAAGGACAACUAGAUUCAAUGAUAAAAGAGACUUCUGUUCAUAUUCGAUUCACUUAUUCCUAUGGUUGAUUUCGUGGCAAGUGCAAUGGUUACCGAUUCCUAAUGUGAUUGGGUUCAUGUUCAUUAUUACCAAUCCUUUAGUAGACAAGUUAAUUCAAACAAUGGCUAGUUGAUUAAACUAACAAGUUUCCUAGUGUUUAGUUCGUAUCAAGCAAGACUUAUAAUAAUAGUUAAUCAAAUUUGUUCAAUUCAAUCAACUCAUGUAUAGAUGUUCAUCACACAUGCUCACACAUUGAUUUACAUAUUUUAUAGUUAACCCUAGUUUCAUAUUCACUAUUCCUAGGCAUACAAUCUUAUAUUCAUAAAACUAUAUGAAUCAAGUAAUCAAGAAGAUAUUCAUGCAACUCAAUCACUUAUUUGUUAACUAAAAACAUUUAUCAUCAAUACAUAAGGAUCUUUAAUAAGCUUAACAAGAUGAAUAACCAAAUUAAUAUCAAUUCAACCACUCAAUCAAACCAUAUUCAUAAGAUUAUCUCAUCCAAACAGAAGUAAAAAGCUUUUAGCUCAUAUCUAAAGCAAGUAAUAACCUAAAAUCAAAAUCUAAUGAUUCAAACAUGGUUCAAAACAAAGAUUAAGAAAAGAAGAAUGAUUAUUUGCCUUUGAUUCUCUUCUAAAUUGUCUCUUAUGUUGCAAUCUCGAAAAUAGCAGCUCCAAGAACCCUUCUGGUCUUCAAAAGUCGCAGCUAGCCUCCACAAAAAGUUAGGGUUCGAAUGAGAAGAGUUUCUAUAUAUAAAUUCUGAAAACAGCGUCAACUCGACGAGUUUUCACCAAAAACUCGUCGAGUUUUUUCGAUAAUCCGCGUAUACAGCGUGUACGGCAAGGCAUCUUCGAAUCUGGAACAUUCUAACCAACUCGUCGAGUUUGUGCUAAAAACUCGUCGAGUUUCUUUUGGAAUCAACAUUUUCUCAAAACACGAAAGUCGUCCGAAAUUGUGUCUAGUUUUCAUAACAUUUUGAAUCUCGUCAAUCGGAGUUACGGUUCAUGAGAUAUGGCCAAAACACUGACGAGGGGUCAAGCUGUCCAGCAACAUCCUUCUUUCUUCAAAAUCCAAGAUCCAAGCUUCCAAUCACUCAAUCCUCUUCCUUUCUCACCCGAGCAUGUCUUUUAUUGCUGAAAUUGAAAUAUUAAGCUAAUUAAGUAUCUUUUGUUCAUAAAAUGAUAUAAAAUCAACAAUAAUUAAUAAGAUAAUGAAUGAUUUCUAUGACUAAAUAAGCCCAUAUCAAAAUACCCCACACUUGACUUUUGCUUGCCCCCAAGCAAAACCGAAUUUUAGCACACUAAUACCACAUAAGACAAUCCCAAUCGAACCCAGCCAUUAUGCCAAGACCGCAACGCAUGCAUUUGUGUCUAAAAUUUUCCUAAGAACCCCCCUCAAUUCUAAAUACUCACAAUCCUCAUAAACACUCGCCCACUUCUUUCGAACAACGCUCAUUUUAUGCAUCCCUCCGAAUCCAUCCCCAGAAAACUUUCUUAACCUCAAGUCAUUUUUGGUUAAAUCCCCAAGCAUACAUACGAUAAAAUAACCUAGAAAAGAAAAUUACAAAUAAAAGACAAAUACAACUUUUGAUUGAAUCUUUUAUACUUUGUAGCUUUUCUUCAUGAUAUUCUUCUUUGUCUUCACAACUUUGUAGAUUCUUUAUUCAAGCAUUUCAUCACUUUUUUUUUCAACUUUUUUUUCUUUUCUUUUUUUUUUUCUUUUUUUUUCACACACUUUUUCCAUUNUCCUACACUACCCUAAUAAACUAGAAGUUCAAAAAGAAAAAGAAAAGCAAACUUCUAAUGACGGGUUGCCUCCCGCAAGCACUUCUUUUUGUGCGAGUCUUUAGCUGGACUCUCAACUUAAUAAACUUCCAAUAAAGUCAAUGCCAAUCCAUCUGUUGCAUUGAAUAUCUUCUUUGGUGGACCAAUUUGUAAAAUUUGGCUCUUUGCUUCUAUAAUUGGCCAAACGAGCUUGAAUAUAUAAAACCCAAGAAUCUUGAUAAGGGUUGGGACCGGUUGGAUACUAAUCAGAAAUGGAUCGCGUUUCAGAACUUUCUCCAAAGUUGGAAUCGUCACCCCAUCCUUCGAAACACAAACUGGAAAUACAGGGGGCCAUGUCGUGGUAAUGGUCAAACCACAGCUUGGUUCCUGCAAUUCAGCUUGUUCUCGUUCUUCAUUUGACCCUUCUGCUAGCAAUCUUUCCAGCUCCUCCAAAUCUCUUUCUGGAUUAAAUUCUUCAUCUUUUAACUCUAGCUCUUGUAACUCAGGUUGCUCUUUUUCAUUAGGCAAGAUGUUAUCUAACCAUCUUCCAAAUUUCAUCAAAUCCUCAUCUGAGUCAUAUUCCUCAUCUUCUUGCUCAAUUUCCUGUACUACUUCCUCAAGAAAAGCAUCAAAAGCAUCGAGAUUUGGAAAAUACAUAAUAAUAUUAUAAUAAAAAUUAAAACAGAAAACGUGUAACUUUAUAUGAGAUAAAUCUCACACAAAGGAUCGAUAACACUAGCAAAUAUAAUUAACUAUUAGAACCGUUCCCCGGCAACGGCGCCAAAAACUUGAUGUGUGUAAGAUGUGUGUAAAACGCACUAGUUUUCAUCCUAUUACUUCAAACACAAAUUAAACACACGAAAGGCAGUGAACCUAUCGAUUAAUAGUAUAGUUUAAGCAAGUAGGGUAUCGAACACAGGGAACGGUAACAAUCAAAUUAAGUACUAGUAUUACCUAAUUAAAAACAAUUAAUAAAAGAGGGGGUUUCUCUAGUUUUGCAAGACUAGAAACUUAAUCAAUCAAUUAACUUUCAAACAAAGACAAUUAACAACUAAGAAGAACAAGAAAGGACAACUAGAUUCAAUGAUAAAAGAGACUUCUGUUCAGAUUCGAUUCACUUAUUCCUAUGGUUGAUUUCGUGGCAAGUGCAAUGGAUUAAUAUGUCAAUGGUUACCGAUUCCUAAUGUGAUUGGGUUCAUGUUCAUUAUUACCAAUCCUUUAGUAGACAAGUUAAUUCAAACAAUGGCCAGUUGAUUAAACUAACAAGUUUCCUAGUGUUUAGUUCGUAUCAAGCAAGACUUAUAAUAAUAGUUAAUCAAAUUUGUUCAAUUCAAUCAACUCAUGUAUAGAUGUUCAUCACACAUGCUCACACAUUGAUUUACAUAUUUUAUAGUUAACCCUAGUUUCAUAUUCACUAUUCCUAGGCAUACAAUCUUAUAUUCAUAAAACUAUAUGAAUCAAGUAAUCAAGAAGAUAUUCAUGCAACUCAAUCACUUAUUUGUUAACUAAAAACAUUUAUCAUCAAUACAUAAGGAUCUUUAAUAAGCUUAACAAGAUGAAUAACCAAAUUAAUAUCAAUUCAACCACUCAAUCAAACCAUAUUCAUAAGAUUAUCUCAUCCAAACAGAAGUAAAAAGCUUUUAGCUCAUAUCUAAAGCAAGUAAUAACCUAAAAUCAAAAUCUAAUGUUUCAAAC